Long non-coding RNA from Nicotiana attenuata, 907 nucleotides. RefSeq lists it as uncharacterized. Lineage: Eukaryota; Viridiplantae; Streptophyta; Magnoliopsida; Solanales; Solanaceae. The transcript has 4 exons. The record is from RefSeq and is a predicted model, not a curated record.
AAGAAACACUUUACAAGCGUUAUCCUUGUCCUUGGUACAUAAAAAGUAAUGCGGUGCAGACGUGGUUUGAAUUAAAAAAAAAUACGCACAAAAAUUUCCCACUUAAGCUAUUCCCUCUAAAAUUUUCCACUUCCCCUCUAAAAAUUUUCACUAAAAGUCUAAGCGAUUCCAGUUGCCCCUUUACUCUAGGGUUUGAAACCCACAACCUUCUUCACUUGAUUUUAAAAAAAAAAAUGUCCAUUGCACCCAAUCUUCGUCAAAAAGGGGAAAGAAGAAAAUGAUUUCACCCAAAUGGUGAUGUUCUUGACAAGCAGGAGAUCUAAUUUACUUUAUUUGAUAUCUCCUAAUAUAUGAGUUACAUAAGUCAGUUUCUCAAGACAACAAGAAAGAUUCGGCAUUCAGUAUUGAGCUUAGGGGAGUCAGUACUAGACAUUAUUAUCUUGUGUCUAGCUCCACUCCUUUUGAAACUUCUACAAGAAUGGAUGAUUCAAGAAUUUCUUGUCUGUUGUCAAACUUUGCAGUGGUUUACCGACAAGAAGAUGCGAUUCAACUUGCAGGUUUGUUGUGCCAAUGAAGAAUUGUGACCUUGACAUCAAAGGGGUUUACGUUUUGCAAGUAUUAAUCAAACUGAAUGAACACUAGAAUCAGUCAAGGAAAAUUCUUGUGAUGCAAUUAAAAGUGGUGGCCAAAGUCGGUUUGAUACAUUUGAAGUUAAUGAUGAGACUUUGGACAAUACAUUUGAUUUUGUAAAGUUCGUAUUUAGCACGCUACUUGAAGCAAUUUGCUUUAUUGGUUGAUUGCAGUACAUAAAAUGUAUUCCUUUUUUCGAAGUAAAUUGCGCAUGUAUGUGUUUAAAACAAUCUCGUUUUUUAUUGAUUAAUGAAGUACUUGAGAUCUUUAUACUUAA